This 253-nucleotide ribosomal RNA is filed under the name uncultured bacterium. Its description in RNAcentral is "partial 16S ribosomal RNA". It matches the Rfam family "Bacterial small subunit ribosomal RNA", at positions 524 to 776 of the family's 1533-position model. The record is from RNAcentral.
GACGUAGGGGACGAGCGUUGUCCGGAUUUAUUGGGCGUAAAGCGCGCGCAGGCGGCCGUGUAAGUCGGGUGUGAAAUCCCGGAGCUCAACUCCGGAACUGCACUCGAAACUGCACGGCUCGAGGUAGGUAGGGGAGAUCGGAAUUCCUGGUGUAGCGGUGGAAUGCGCAGAUAUCAGGAGGAACACCGGUGGCGAAGGCGGAUCUCUGGGCCUUACCUGACGCUCAGGCGCGAAAGCUAGGGGAGCGAACAGG